UCCCCACCAAGAAAGCAGGACCUGGAGUCACAUGCUCGCUCUUGUAUUUCACUUCUGGAUGAAUAAGCAAAUACAUAGCUUGGCUUGGACGUGGAUGGCCAGGCCCCCGAACAGCCCCUGCUCCUGUUCUCAAAGCACAUUUCCAGGUAGGUAACAUUUUAUUCAUUUUACAUCCCAAGGAAGAUGAGGGUCAGAGGGGAUGAAUAACUUGCCUUAGAUUACAGGGUAGGUAAGUGAUAGGGGACCUAUUACCUCUGUUGGAAUUUCUUCAGGCCCAGGAACCUACUCAGACAGUCAAAGGCAAAGCUGGAGUCCUUACCCCAGAGAGCAACAGCCCUCCUGCUAGUCCUUUAGAAGAGCAAUCACUGGAAAUCAAGUCCCCCUAACUAAUGAGGUGCCUGAAAUUGAGAUGUCAUUAAUAAUCUCUUUCCUCCUGGCUUCUCUAGAUCAAAAUUCCAAGAUACUAAGGAAUGGUUUUUAUUUUAUCUCAGGGAAAUCUAAAGACUUGAAUGUUUUUUUUUAAAAAAAACUUAUCAUCCAGGAGAAAGUUUAAAUGCGUUUUAGUAUUAAUUUCUUAAUGAUUUUUGAAAUUAACAGAUCUUGCUGGAGCAGAUGUGCCACAAAUGGAUGGUUUCCAACGUCCUGUUCAAAUCUGGGAUGCCUCAGAGGCUGUAAAAAUAAAAUUCUAAACACAAUUUCAUUCUGGCAAAGACUGGGUAACCAUUCUGGAUUGGACCAAAAUAUCUAAUUGGCUCGCGCACCGAGGAUCAAUGCUGUUCUCCAAUUGGUGAACUUCGUAUGUGCAGAUUUAAUGGAAUCAUGGGAUUGUCAUUAGUCAUAAUUAUAGAAAUAGUUUCUUCUGUUUUUGUCUCUUUGCUGAGGCAGUUGCCUGGGAUGGCUUUGGAAUAACUUGUUCCCGAGGCUGGGAAGGACUCUGAAAAGAAAGUUUUCAUACCUCAAAUAAUCUAUUUACGCCUCUGGACAGAAAAAAGUGAGUUGAUUUUACAAUUACUCAUUUCAAAGGCUCCCUGCUCCCCUCUCCCUCAAAUGCAAGCUGCUUGGCCCUGCUGGGAGUUGGUAAAGCAAGGAGUACAGUUACAGGCUGUGAACCAACCUCAAUGCUAAUGGACAUUGGCUAAGGUGGGCACCUGAAAAGAGAUCAGUAAGACCCAAAACAGACACAUGUCUUUAGGAAGUUGGGAAAGAAGAACCUACUGCUCACAAACCAGGCUCUUUGCAUGACCACUUUUCUUUUUUCUCUUUUCCAGCUGAGGGGUUUUAAUUAGAGGCUAAAUUACCACAGGUUGAGCACUCCUAAUCCAAAAAUCCAAAAUAUUAAACUGCUCCAAAAUCUGAAACUUUCAGAGUGCUGAUGUGACAGAAGUUGAAAAUCCCGCUUCUGAAUGGUGAUGGUUCAAUGUACACAAACUUUGUAUUAUCAUGCAUAAAACUAUUAAAAAAUAAUGUAUGAAAUUACCUUCAGGCCAUGUGUAGAAAGUGCCUAUAUAACAUUAAUAAAUUUCAUGUUUAGACUUAGGUCCCAAUACUAAGAUGUCCCAUUAUGUAUAUGUAAAUAUCCCCAAAUCUGAAAAAUUUCUAAAUGCAAAAUGUUUCUGGUUCCAAGCAUUUCAGAUAAGGGAUGCUCACCCUGUACCAGGACAUUCAGAGCACAACCCCUGCAGGAUGCUGGUUCCACUUGUUCAUCUCCCAUUCAGUUGAUGAGUUCUUUUAUUCUACUAUUUUCUCCCACUCAGUAAGAGAAUUCUGUGUUGAAGAUAUACACGUCUCCUUUUUUGUAAGGCCAUUCUUUAAAGAGAUGAGAGGAACAUAAGCCCUACCAGGCCUAUGUAUGGAAAGGUCUAGAAACCUUUACCUCUAGCAAACUUGCAAUCUUUGCCUGACUCUAGUUUCCAUUGAGGUCUGGAAAUAUAGAUGGCAAGAUCAAAAUGCAUUUAUAGCUUGUCCCAGAGCCUUCUGGAAAGAAAGCCUGUUUUGUAACAAUAAUAAGAAUAGUGAACAACAAUGACAUAGCAAUUACUCCAUGCCAGUGGGUCAAUCCACAGACCUCUGGUACAUGCACUGUGAGUUGGAGGCACUGUUUGAGCCACUGGGAAUAAAGCAAGAAAAUUAUUGCUGACCCCAUCCCUACCCAUGUGGUACUUACGUUGCAGUGGGAAGCUUCAGUGUUUGGAGUUGUACACAACAGAAAAUAAAUUAGACUUGCUCAGUCAUUUGGGAAUCAGAGCAAGGGAAGAAGAGCAGAAAUGGCAGAGAAGUGAAUGGGUUGAGCUGGUGAUUUUUCCAUGUGGUCCCAGGUCAGCAGAAUCAGCAACACCUGAGAAAUUCUGCAACUACUGAGUCAGAAACUCCGGGAAUUAGGCCUAAUAAGGCAGAUUUUACACACCUGGCACGAAAGUUGGAGAACCACUGGAUUUGACAUUAGGAGUAAUGUUCUCCUCAGUGGAAAUUUACUGCAGCAAAAUGAGCUAUCACUGCCAGUGUAUAUAAAUGAGACUGCUCAAUCAAAACAAUGAAGUGUCUGGAUUUUAGCAUUUUCUAUGUAUGUGAGCUUUCUGCCAGUGUACAAAAAUACCUGAAAUAUUUAACUUAUAAGGAGAAAAGGGCUAUUUUGGCUUACAGUUUUAGAGGUUCUAGUCCAUGAUUGGGGGGGGGUCCUUUGCUUUUAGGCUUCUAGUGUGGGUGCUGGAUGGUAAUGGCAAGGAUUGUGGACAGAGAAAAACGGCUCACUCUUCAGCCAGGAAGCAGUGAAAAAAAGGAAGAGGAAGGGACCUGGGUGCCACAGUCCAGUCCAAGGGCACAACCCCAGUGACCUAAGAUCCUCCCACAAGGAUCCUCCUUCCACAGGUUCCGUCACCUUCAGUAGUAUGACCCUGGGAAUCAUGCUGCUAACACAUGGGUCAUUGAUGAAUAUUUAAGAUCUAAACUACAGUAAUAAGUUUAUUUAACCACAAAUUGCUUUUAUCAUUAUGGGAUGCUAAGAGGAUACCCAUGGGAGUUUGUCAAACAGUGCACAACGGCAUUAAAUAGAUUGCAAAAAUCACUUCCAAGUGCAAUGAUCAUUGCCAGAAGUUCUCAAAAAAAAACUGCUUUUAUACUUUAUAAAAUACAUACAAAAAUUUGAGUAUGAAGACCAUCUUAAGUUAUUAAGGUAUGAAUUUGAAUAUUAUAAGCAUUCGCAUCCCUUCCCUCCCCAACCUGGCCCAUACCUGCUACAGCAUCAAGAAUGGAAAAAUCAAAUAUUCAGGUGUUCCUCCUGAUCCUGGACAAGGUACUCUAGAGGAAAAUAUAGGGCAUCAAAAAUUGUAUGGGGAAUCUCUCAAUCCUUUUCCAUGACUUCCAAUCUUCAUCACUCUCCUCUUUUCUCUUUUCCAGACAAUACUCCAUCCUUGCAUCCAAGCCCCUAGGACCUGGGUGCUUGGUAUCCUCAUCUCUCUCCCAACUGCAGCCUUCACAACCUUUCCCUGCAUUCUUCCUCUGGAGAGACUUUUUGAGCUUUUCAACCCUCAUCAGUCCAUUCUCUUUCCUGGGAGUACAAACAGGUAAACUGUUUGCUUUUUUUUUUUUUUGCAGGAACCUUCUAGAGCAAGUGUCUUUGAGAGAAAGUUCUAGAAGUCAAGCUUGGGAAUGGGACACAACAUGGAAAGAAUUCCUCAGUUAGAUCCAAAAUGGACCUGUCCGUUAUCAUUCAGACAGGCUUUGCUCUGGGGUACCAUCUGCCUCAGGAAGUGAAAUUGAAGGCGAGAGGAAACCACUGACUUGGCUUGAAAUUGAUACGGCUUGAAUUUGAUAUGGACUGCGGAAGAGAGUGGAUAUUCUUGCUGCACUCCUUUUUCCAAGCAAAAUCUUAAUCAACUACAUCCUUGGGGUUAUAAUUCCACUCGACUUUCCCCUGUGGGCCCAGAGAUGGGGAGGGUGAUGACAGAACGAUGACAAGGUGACAGGAACACUUCACUCUGCUUUCUCCAUCACUACUGCAUGUGGACAGAGGCCUGUUUAUGGUCACUUCUUAUCCAACGUCAUAUUUUGGCCUCAUUUACAGUGGGGAUUAACAUGAUCUAGAGGCAGCCUGCUGGGCUUCUUUGUGAUCAUCUAAAAAUAAGCAAAGCCCAAUGGAUCCAUUCCUUCUUCCCAUUAAUUUGAAGGAAGGCAGAUGGUGCCCAAUAACCUGAUUUGAAUUGCCAAUAAAGCUCGACAUCUUUUUGCUGAGCAUUUGCCGUAAAAUUGUAACGAAUGGUGUCAGGUGGUGCAAAAUGAGCUCCAAGAAAAGUUACUCUGGGUCUGUGGGGUGGGAGAGCAGUAGAAGGGAGCAGUCAUUCUGUCUCCACACAACCUCCCCGAGGAAGGGGAUUUCAAGGAAUGAGAGAGGCCAGGGACAGCUCUGAACCAUUGAGACUGAAGAACAAAAUGUGACAGAAAGGGGUGGGCAGACAGAAGCUUUGAAAAAGUUGAACCUUUUAGGACACCAGCUAUGUCUCAGUUAUUGCUACCUUCCUACCACCCCUAGGUGGUAGGCAGAGAGUAAAUUUUGGUUGAAUGAGCAAUGCAGACACUUAAUGGAUAAAAAGGAUAAUAAUAAAAAAUAAAGAAAGUACAACCAAGAUAGGGAAAGGAUAUGAGGCCUGGGUACUUGGGUUGUAGUCCUGGCUCUCAGGCUGCAUCCUUGAAGAAAGUCAUGUAAAUCAAAGAUGGAGGAGGUUGGACACCAUAUUGCUUAAGAGACUUGCCUCCUUCACCUGGGACUAGAAUCCAAGAACCCAGACCUUCUCAUGUUGCUUUCCUGGGCAUCAACAAUCUUUCUCCUUUGCUUGUGUGCUCUGUGAAUGGUUUAUUGACUUUUCUAAUUCCAAAUG
This 4871-nucleotide long non-coding RNA is filed under the name Marmota monax (woodchuck). Lineage: Eukaryota; Metazoa; Chordata; Mammalia; Rodentia; Sciuridae. The record is from RNAcentral.